This 497-nucleotide ribosomal RNA is filed under the name uncultured bacterium. Its description in RNAcentral is "partial 16S ribosomal RNA". It matches the Rfam family "Bacterial small subunit ribosomal RNA", at positions 28 to 507 of the family's 1533-position model. The record is from RNAcentral.
GAUGAACGCUGGCGGCGUGCCUAAUACAUGCAAGUCGAGCGAACGGACGAGAAGCUUGCUCCUCUGACGUUAGCGGCGGACGGGUGAGUAACACGUGGAUAACCUACCUAUAAGACUGGGAUAACUUCGGGAAACCGUAGCUAAUACCGGAUAAUAUUUUGAACCGCAUGGUUCAAUAGUGAAAGACGGUUUUGCUGUCACUUAUAGAUGGAUCCGCGCUGCAUUAGCUAGUUGGUAAGGUAACGGCUUACCAAGGCAACGAUGCGUAGCCGACCUGAGAGGGUGAUCGGCCACACUGGAACUGAGACACGGUCCAGACUCCUACGGGAGGCAGCAGUAGGGAAUCUUCCGCAAUGGGCGAAAGCCUGACGGAGCAACGCCGCGUGAGUGAUGAAGGUCUUCGGAUCGUAAAACUCUGUUAUUAGGGAAGAACAAAUGUGUAAGUAACUAUGCACGUCUUGACGGUACCUAAUCAGAAAGCCACGGCUAACUACGUG